AUUGAACGCUGGCGGCAGGCCUAACACAUGCAAGUCGAACGAGUGGCGGACGGGUGAGUAAUGUCUGGGAAACUGCCUGAUGGAGGGGGAUAACUACUGGAAACGGUAGCUAAUACCGCAUACCAUCAGAUUGGCCCAGCUGGGAAUAGCUAGCUGGUGGGGUAACAGAUCACCAAGGCGACGAUCCCUAGCUGGUCUGAGAGGAUGAACAGCGACACUGGAACUGAGACACGGUCCAGACUCCUACGGGAGGGAGCAGUGGGGAAUAUUGCACAAUGGGCGCAAGCCUGAUGCAGCCAUGCCGCGUGUAUUAAGAAGGCCUUCGGGUUGUAAAGUACUGUCAGCGGGGAGGCGUUACCCGCAGAAGAAGCACCGGCUAACUCCGUGCCAGCAGCCGCGGUAAUUC
Molecule: ribosomal RNA, 406 nt
Filed under: uncultured bacterium
Lineage: Bacteria
Description: partial 16S ribosomal RNA
Rfam family: Bacterial small subunit ribosomal RNA
Source: RNAcentral